This 239-nucleotide unclassified non-coding RNA is filed under the name fungal sp. Its description in RNAcentral is "partial internal transcribed spacer region". The stretch from base 1 to 46 matches the Rfam family "Eukaryotic small subunit ribosomal RNA", at positions 1786 to 1831 of the family's 1831-position model. Lineage: Eukaryota; Fungi. The record is from RNAcentral.
AAGUCGUAACAAGGUUUCCGUAGGUGAACCUGCGGAAGGAUCAUUAACAGUGUUCGUGGCUUUAACACAGCCAUGAUCCAAUCCCUAUCAUCCAUCCACUGUGUGCAUCUUACCGAGCUUUUUGUGCCUUGGCAAAGUGGAGACACUCUGCCAAAAGGGCGCUUUAUCUUAUUUCUAUCAGACUGAAUAAACUAUUUUUGAACCACAUACAACUUUCAACAACGGAUCUCUUGGCUCUC